This 447-nucleotide long non-coding RNA is filed under the name Coccomyxa subellipsoidea. Its description in RNAcentral is "long non-coding RNA (CSUB_LNC000546)". The record is from RNAcentral. Lineage: Eukaryota; Viridiplantae; Chlorophyta; Trebouxiophyceae; Coccomyxaceae.
CAGAUGGUGCAGCCAACCUCCAGCCAUCCAGUGGUGCCUGCUGUAAUGUAAGCUCAGACCCAUCCUUCCCGGAUCCCUUACGACCUGUGAAACCCUCACCAUUUUCCUGGCUUGCCAUCUUGCAUGCGGCAUGCUGAUUUUCAGGGUCGGCUGAGACUGCAUACAGCACCCUGCAUGGCUCAGAAAGAAAGUAGGGUGAUGUCAGCAUAACUUGCCACAGCAAAUGAACUCAUGUGUGUUGGUGCAGUCUUGCUGGACUCAAACCCGGCAGGCGAUAAGGGGCGGCGGCUGCAAUGCUUGGGUGUGGUGUGGAAUGACUACAGGGUGCAAUGAUGGCUACGGAACUAUUUACGGGUACCAGCAAUGCACCCUGAAAUUCCAGUCCAGCAUGCAAGCUCUGCAGCCGAGCCUCACACAGACCUCUAAAUUGGGCGCAUCACCUUUCAC